AUGAGCCCUAAAACCCUGGCAGCCUUACUUCUUCUCCCCACCCCGCGCGGCGCCUCCUUUCCUCUCCUCCACUCGCCGCCGCCGCCGCCGCCAGCGCCUCCUCCACCGCCGCUCGUCCUCCUAUACACAGGUGCGGAGGAGAUGUUGGUGCUCUUCGAGACGCCCGCGGGGUUCGCCCUCUUCAAGGUGCUGGACGAGGGGAAGCUCAGCAAAGUCGAGGAUCUGUGGCAGGACUUCGCCUCGUCGGACAAAGCAAGAAAGGUGGUUGAGCUGAAGGCUUUCAACAAGUUUGAAAACACCUCCGAUGCUCUUUCAGCGGCUACUUUGCUAAUUGAUAGCAAGCCCAGCAAGGGUCUGCGCAAGUUCCUGCAGAAGCACUGUGAUGGUGAAACAUUGGCUGUUGCUGAUUCUAAACUUGGGAAUGCUAUCAAAGAAAAGCUGAAAAUUGAUUGCCUUCACAACAGUGCUGUCAUGGAGCUGAUGAGAGGGCUGAGGAACCAGCUUACCGAACUUAUGUCUGGACUAGCUGAACAUGAUCUAGGUCCAAUGAGCCUAGGAUUGUCCCACAGCUUGUCUAGGUAUAAGCUGAAGUUCAGCCCUGAAAAGGUUGAUACUAUGAUCAUUCAGGCCAUUGGCUUGUUGGAUGAUCUUGACAAGGAGCUUAACACUUAUGCUAUGAGGGUCCGCGAAUGGUACGGUUGGCACUUUCCGGAGCUCACGAAAAUUGUUGCAGAUAAUAUCCAUUACGCGAAAGCUGUGAAGAUGAUGGGCAAUCGUGUUAAUGCAGUGAACCUUGACUUCUCUGAGAUACUGCCAGAAGAUGUGGAAGCAGAGCUGAAGGAGGCAGCUGUAAUUUCCAUGGGAACAGAAGUCAAUGAUCUUGACCUCUCAAACAUCAGGGAACUGUGUGAUCAAGUCCUGGCUCUUUCUGAGUACAGAGCCCAGCUCUAUGACUAUCUAAAAAGUAGGAUGAAUACCAUUGCUCCCAACUUGACUGCACUUGUUGGUGAACUUGUUGGCGCUCGCCUUAUUGCACAUGGUGGUAGUUUGAUGAAUCUGGCAAAGCAGCCUGGCAGCACGAUUCAGAUUCUGGGGGCAGAGAAGGCCUUAUUCAGAGCUCUGAAGACAAAGCAUGCUACACCAAAGUAUGGUCUCAUCUAUCAUGCAUCAUUAAUUGGACAGGCGGCUCCGAAGCACAAGGGAAAGAUCUCUCGUUCGCUUGCAGCUAAGAGUGCACUUGCCAUAAGAUACGACGCCCUUGCUGACGGUGAUGAUAACUCCAUGGGUCUUGAAAGCAGGAUCAAGCUUGAAACACGGCUUCGGGUUCUUGAGGGUAAAGAACUUGGGAGGUCUGCUGGUUCCACGAAAGGAAAGCCCAAGAUUGAAGCGUAUGAAAAGGACCGGAAGGGUGGUGGUGCUCUGAUCACUCCCGCUAAAACUUACAACUCAGCAGCAGAUCUAGUGCUCGGACAAACCACUGAAGAAACGCCAAAGAAGUCAGAAGUUGCUUCAAAGAAGAGGAAGCACCAAGAGGAAGAACCUACUGCAGAGGCAGCUGAAGAGGACGGCGAGCAGGAGAAAGAGAGGUCCAAGAAGAAGAAGAAGAAAUCCAAGGACAUCGAGGAGACUCCAGCAGACGUCACCGACGCCAGCGAGAAGAAGAAAAAGAAGAGCAAGGAGGCCGAGGAGACCCCUGCAACUGACGCCGACGGCGGGAAGAAGAAAAAGAAGAAGAAAUCAGACGCUGAGGACACCCCCAUGGAGACCGACGUAUCUGCCAAGAAGGAAAAGAAGAAGAAGAAGAAGAAGCACGCUGACGAGUGA
Molecule: ribosomal RNA, 1824 nt
Filed under: Triticum aestivum (bread wheat)
Lineage: Eukaryota; Viridiplantae; Streptophyta; Magnoliopsida; Poales; Poaceae
Description: partial small subunit ribosomal RNA
Source: RNAcentral